This is a small nucleolar RNA of Ailuropoda melanoleuca (giant panda), 132 nucleotides long. Its record names the gene SNORA72. It matches the Rfam family "Small nucleolar RNA SNORA72". Rfam says of the family: U72 is a member of the H/ACA class of snoRNAs. The snoRNA gene is located in intron 4 of the ribosomal L30 protein gene in human, mouse and chicken. The record is from Ensembl. NCBI's taxonomy places the organism in Eukaryota, Metazoa, Chordata, Mammalia, Carnivora, Ursidae.
CUGUGAAUAUUCUUGCUAUUCUGAUUUUGUAAUAAUCAGGGCAGGCUAAGCAUUCACUAUAUUAAGACGAUGCAUGCGUCCUCAGACCUAGUUCUUUCCCUAGGUCUGGUUUUAGAAAUGCUGGUGAUAAAU